This 74-nucleotide transfer RNA is filed under the name Minisyncoccota bacterium. Its description in RNAcentral is "tRNA-Ala". It matches the Rfam family "tRNA". From Rfam's summary of the family: Transfer RNA (tRNA) molecules are approximately 80 nucleotides in length. Their secondary structure includes four short double-helical elements and three loops (D, anti-codon, and T loops). The record is from RNAcentral. Lineage: Bacteria; Bacillati; Minisyncoccota.
GGGCCUGUGGCGCAGUUGGCUAGCGCGCCUGUAUGGCAUACAGGAGGUCAGGGGUUCGAAUCCCCUCAGGUCCA